This 521-nucleotide ribosomal RNA is filed under the name Staphylococcus pasteuri. Its description in RNAcentral is "bacterial SSU rRNA". It matches the Rfam family "Bacterial small subunit ribosomal RNA", at positions 1 to 505 of the family's 1533-position model. The record is from RNAcentral. Lineage: Bacteria; Bacillati; Bacillota; Bacilli; Caryophanales; Staphylococcaceae.
UAGAGUUUGAUCCUGGCUCAGGAUGAACGCUGGCGGCGUGCCUAAUACAUGCAAGUCGAGCGAACAGAUAAGGAGCUUGCUCCUUUGACGUUAGCGGCGGACGGGUGAGUAACACGUGGAUAACCUACCUAUAAGACUGGGAUAACUUCGGGAAACCGGAGCUAAUACCGGAUAAGAUUUUGAACCGCAUGGUUCAAUAGUGAAAGACGGCCUUGCUGUCACUUAUAGAUGGAUCCGCGCCGUAUUAGCUAGUUGGUAAGGUAACGGCUUACCAAGGCAACGAUACGUAGCCGACCUGAGAGGGUGAUCGGCCACACUGGAACUGAGACACGGUCCAGACUCCUACGGGAGGCAGCAGUAGGGAAUCUUCCUGCAAUGGGCGAAAGCCUGACGGAGCAACGCCGCGUGAGUGAUGAAGGUACUUCGGAUCGUAAAUACUCUGUUAUCAGGGAAGAACAAACGUGUAAGUAACUGUGCACGUGCUUGUACGGUACCUGCNCAGAAAGCCACGGCUAANAACG